Molecule: ribosomal RNA, 278 nt
Filed under: uncultured Synechococcus sp.
Lineage: Bacteria; Bacillati; Cyanobacteriota; Cyanophyceae; Synechococcales; Synechococcaceae
Description: partial 16S ribosomal RNA
Rfam family: Bacterial small subunit ribosomal RNA
Source: RNAcentral
AAUGCGAGGAAGCAAUCCCAUAAACCGUGGCUCAGUUCAGAUCGUAGGCUGCAACUCGCCUACGUGAAGGAGGAAUCGCUAGUAAUCGCAGGUCAGCAUACUGCGGUGAAUACGUUCCCGGGCCUUGUACACACCGCCCGUCGCACCAUGGAAGUUGGCCACGCCCGAAGCCGUUACUCCAACCCUUGUGGAGGAGGACGUCGAAGGUGGGGCUGAUGACUGGGGUGAAGUCGUAACAAGGUAUCCGUACCGGAAGGUGCGGAUGGAUCACCUCCUAA